Molecule: microRNA precursor, 123 nt
Organism: Gossypium arboreum
Lineage: Eukaryota; Viridiplantae; Streptophyta; Magnoliopsida; Malvales; Malvaceae
Rfam family: MIR7504 microRNA precursor family
Source: Rfam
AAUGGGAGAAUGACAAAUCAGAUUUUGCCUCCUGAUUUUCAGCCUUUUACUCCUGAAAAAAUUCAAAUCCAACUAAAAAGGCUAAAAAUCAAGAGGAAAAAUCUGAUUUGUCAUUCUCCUAUU